This 714-nucleotide ribosomal RNA is filed under the name uncultured Flavobacterium sp. RNAcentral describes it as "bacterial SSU rRNA". It matches the Rfam family "Bacterial small subunit ribosomal RNA", at positions 768 to 1496 of the family's 1533-position model. Lineage: Bacteria; Pseudomonadati; Bacteroidota; Flavobacteriia; Flavobacteriales; Flavobacteriaceae. The record is from RNAcentral.
AUUAACAGGAUUAGAUACCCUGGUAGUCCACGCCGUAAACGAUGGAUACUAGCUGUUCGGCCGCAAGGUUGAGUGGCUAAGCGAAAGUGAUAAGUAUCCCACCUGGAGAGUACGGUCGCAAGACUGAAACUCAAAGGAAUUGACGGGGGCCCGCACAAGCGGUGGAGCAUGUGGUUUAAUUCGAUGAUACGCGAGGAACCUUACCAGGGCUUAAAUGUAGUCUGACAGAUGCAGAAAUGUGUUUUUCUUCGGACAGAUUACAAGGUGCUGCAUGGUUGUCGUCAGCUCGUGCCGUGAGGUGUCAGGUUAAGUCCUAUAACGAGCGCAACCCCUGUUGUUAGUUGCCAGCGAGUAAUGUCGGGAACUCUAGCAAGACUGCCGGUGCAAACCGAGAGGAAGGUGGGGAUGACGUCAAAUCAUCACGGCCCUUACGUCCUGGGCCACACACGUGCUACAAUGGCCGGUACAGAGAGCAGCCACCUGGUGACAGGGAGCGAAUCUAUAAAGCCGGUCACAGUUCGGAUUGGAGUCUGCAACUCGACUCUAUGAAGCUGGAAUCGCUAGUAAUCGGAUAUCAGCCAUGAUCCGGUGAAUACGUUCCCGGGCCUUGUACACACCGCCCGUCAAGCCAUGGAAGCCGGGGGUACCUGAAGUCGGUGACCGCAAGGAGCUGCCUAGGGUAAAACCGGUAACUGGGGCUAAGUCGUAACAAGG